RNAcentral lists this long non-coding RNA (2244 nucleotides) under Linum usitatissimum (flax). RNAcentral's name for it is "long non-coding RNA (LUSI_LNC006860)". Lineage: Eukaryota; Viridiplantae; Streptophyta; Magnoliopsida; Malpighiales; Linaceae. The record is from RNAcentral.
GGGCCUAGGCCUAUAAGGAAGGAGUCUUGAAUUCGUUCAUCGUAGUUUUCAGCUAGCUUUAGCACGAUUCCCAUGGUUAGUGGAUUUAUUGCUUAGGGCUCUUUGACAUAUCCUUUCCUUCCGCUUCUAGCUUUCUACUUAACUUAAUAUAUUGAUUUGCCCAUCUCCCCUAAUUUCACCUUGGUAUGCCAAUGUUCAGUCAAUCGGAGCUGCUUUUCCUUUUCUCAGUGAGUCUUCGUCCUCUUAGCUCUUAGCUUUCGCUGCGAUCCCUUGUAUAGGUCUUGGCAAAGCCUUUGCCGCUGAUCGGAAUCUUUUAAAUCUUUAGCGGAUUCUUCCUCAACGUAGGCAGCAAAAGAAGUUUUAGUGGAUUAGCCUCUAUAACUUUUUCCAUCUUUUUUCUCCAUUAGCUCCAUGCUGUCUGGUGGUCUCAUUCUGUCUCUCUGAAUAGGUUAAGCCAAUAGGAUAGCACAAGCUCAUCUUUCCUAAAGACGGCUUUGAAGUGGCAGACUGAAGAGAUGACGCUUUUUCGUACGGUUAUUGCUUUCUUUUGUAGGUGGGAAUGAUCAUAGAAUGAAAGAAAUUUCCAAUCCUCAAUGGAAGAAGGGGCAGAGACAGCUGCCAAAUGCUUAUUAAAUAAGGCUCUGUUUAGACGGGCCUCAAUGCCUCUUUCAUUUUCCUCUUACCUUACUGAAAUUGAUUCCUCCUUUUGUAAUUGCUCUUUCUGGGCAGGGGAACUUCAAGGCAAGCAGCUUCACUCAAAGAUCAACGCAAAUAACGAAAGGAGGACAACGAUGAGAAUUCAACGACCAAGGGAGGGUAUAAGGCACGUAUUAAGAAGUCAGUCAUUCAAGCUAGACGAAGCCACUGCUUGAUCCGAGAUCUGUAAAUGGGAGAACUAUAGAAUCGUGAGAUCUGUAAAUGAGAGAACUAUAGAAUCCCAGGAAAGCGACACAAUGUUUGGAAUAGAGCCGGAUCAUCUUUCUUAGCUGGAAGAGAUGAACAUCUUAGGAAAGGAAAUAGCACUUCUACCCUCAACCUAAGUGAUCUUUGGCCAACUAUGGAUUCAUCCAACCCGGUCUUUUUUUAGUCAAGUAGAUUUCUGGGCGGAACUCCGAUAGAAAGAUCAACAAUUGGAUCCAUUAAGGCUAAACCAUUGGCACGUAGAUGCAUAAAUUAGUCUUUGAUGUCAAGAUGACCAUCCCAGGAAAGAGAGAGAGCUAUUGAGAACGCUAGGCCAGCUUUCCUUAUCAGUCUAUUUUACUACUUCUGCUGAGCCAUAACAAGACUUUGGGGACCGACGUGGGUGAUUAUACAUUAAUUCAGUUUCGAGUGCAAAAAAUGCCCUUUUCUUCUUUGCUUUCUCUAGUUGCGGUAUUGCAGCUGGCAGCUUUGUUCAAAGGAUGAAGCCUUUAGUGGGGCUAAGCUGUGGAAGAAGAGAGUUAAUCAGUCUCCUUUUUGGUGCUCUUGCAAAAGAAAGAUAGGGUCUUUUGGGACAAGAAAGACGCUUAAUAGUAAAGUAGGGCAAGGAAAAGGACUGAGAGAAAGUGAGCUCCUUCUCUUUUCAACCCGCGCACCCGCGGGGGCUUGGCUAAGUACUCAAGAAGAGAUUAGCCCUUCUGUGUCGAAGAUCGAUCUCCCCCAUCAUAUGCCAUACGAAAAUCUUACUAUAUAUAUAAUUAUUCAUUGAUCAAGUCAAGUUAAGAUGAGAGUGAGGAAGAAAGUCAGACCCUUGGCCAGGAGUUUUAAUCUGCUCACAACCAAUCCCGGGAGGAGGCGGGCUAUUGCCUCUGACUGUGAAUUGAGGUUCUUUCUCUCCUUAUAUAUGCGAGCAACUUCACGAGCAGAUUGCGAGAGUGUAAUGGCUGGGAUGGAUGAUUUUUGCUUACAGCCGCAUUCGCUGCAUAUAAUAUACGAAAUAUAGAAGAAAUUCUAAGGUGUGGACCCUUGUCUCGACUUGCUUGAUUAGUGAUAGGUAUGACCUAAAAGGGAGCUAAAAUUUCCGGGGAAGGGGAAAUGCCUUCUUUACCCUCUUCUUUCAUUCCAUUAUUCAUCAUAGCCUAUUCCCUUGACUAAGGCCUUUGAGGCAACUUCCUUCCUUGAUUGUCUUUAUGUGAUUUGAGCAAGCCGGUAACGGAGAGAAAGGUGAUAGGUAGAUCCAUGACGAUCUCUCGACCUAAACGGUAGCUUUCCAGACGAAAGUAGUCUCGAAUGGGUAACCACAUUCAUAGUGGGUACCGAGAAUCC